This 353-nucleotide transfer-messenger RNA is filed under the name Vulcanimicrobiota bacterium. It matches the Rfam family "transfer-messenger RNA". Rfam says of the family: Bacterial tmRNA, also known as 10Sa RNA or SsrA, is named for its dual tRNA and mRNA-like properties. Its role is to liberate the mRNA from a stalled ribosome. Lineage: Bacteria; Bacillati; Vulcanimicrobiota. The record is from RNAcentral.
GGGGCUGAGUUAGGUUCGACGGGAAGAUCCGCGGUCGACGUAAGCAGGCGGAGUUGCGAGCUCUCCAAAAACGAUCGCAAGCGUUUUACACGCAAACAAUCAAUACGCACUGGCUGCUUAAUUAGCUAGCCACGGGAUGCGAGAGGUCGCUGGAAUCACCUCGCAAACCGUCAUGAGCUCCAGCUAGGAUUGUGAUGGUGAUCUUCAUCAUCGUCCGAAGUUUAAGGAUCUGCCGCGAAUGAAAUCCGGGUUUCGAGGAGACAUUCGCGCAAGCUAAAAUCGAAACUGUAGCCUGAAGAAAGCGCCGGCUAGGCUUUUCGGACUCGGGGGGCAGUUCCCCGACAGCUCCACCA